AGCUAGCUCCAAUUUUCAUGCUUUUGUGCACCUUUUCAUAUAAUCUUUUGUGCUCUUUCACUCUCUCACUUUAAAACCCUUGAAAAGUCUUAUUUCCAUACUUUCUCUCACUAGCUAGGUGUUUUAGAGAGAGAAAAAGGGAGCUUCUAUAAUAGCUUGAAAAUUUUUAGAAAGAAAUUCAAUUACAAAGCUACCGAAAUGAGUAGUGAAUUAGAGUUGAUUUUUAAAUGUUGAGAAUGGCUAGUGAUCAGACUUGUGAGUGUUUUGUAGUUGAGGUUGUUUAUUCAUUUUAGAGUGAUUAGGAUAGUGAAAAUAGAUAGCCACUUAAUGGCAAUUGGAAGCUAAUUAAGAGAUAGCUUUUAGAAUUUAUAGUUAUGUGAAUUGAGUUAAUUGUGAUGCUAAUGUGAUGAUAGGUUCCAACGAAGCCCCACCGCCCCAUUUGGACCAUUAGAGGAAGUUGGA
RNAcentral lists this long non-coding RNA (462 nucleotides) under Theobroma cacao (cacao). RNAcentral's name for it is "long non-coding RNA (TCAC_LNC004464)". The record is from RNAcentral. Lineage: Eukaryota; Viridiplantae; Streptophyta; Magnoliopsida; Malvales; Malvaceae.